UAAACAAAACCAAAAAGUGAGUGGACAGCAGUCGCCCCUCUCCACAAAAGAAAGGCAGAAAGCCAUUACCUAGAUGACAUCACAAGAACUGAGAUGACCAGACAGCUUAAUGUAUUUAUUAUUACUUAAAAGAGUUAUCAAGCACAUAUUUGCAAAUCCAAGCCCCCAAGAUGAAAAGAAAACACCAGGCAAGCCAAGCAAUCUCAACAAGUUAUAAUCGUCAGAGAUAGACCCAUACACACGAACAGU
Rhodamnia argentea is the source of this 249-nucleotide long non-coding RNA. RefSeq lists it as uncharacterized. The transcript has 2 exons. Lineage: Eukaryota; Viridiplantae; Streptophyta; Magnoliopsida; Myrtales; Myrtaceae. The record is from RefSeq and is a predicted model, not a curated record.